RNAcentral lists this ribosomal RNA (482 nucleotides) under uncultured bacterium. Its description in RNAcentral is "partial 16S ribosomal RNA". It matches the Rfam family "Bacterial small subunit ribosomal RNA", at positions 30 to 507 of the family's 1533-position model. The record is from RNAcentral.
AUUGAACGCUGGCGGCAUGCCUUACACAUGCAAGUCGAACGGUAACGGGCCUUCGGGUGCCGACGAGUGGCGAACGGAUGAGUAAUACAUCGGAACGUGCCCGAUCGUGGGGGAUAACGAGGCGAAAGCUUUGCUAAUACCGCAUACGAUCUACGGAUGAAAGCAGGGGACCGCAAGGCCUUGCGCGGACGGAGCGGCCGAUGGCAGAUUAGGUAGUUGGUGGGAUAAAAGCUUACCAAGCCGACGAUCUGUAGCUGGUCUGAGAGGAUGAUCAGCCACACUGGGACUGAGACACGGCCCAGACUCCUACGGGAGGCAGCAGUGGGGAAUUUUGGACAAUGGGCGCAAGCCUGAUCCAGCCAUGCCGCGUGCAGGAUGAAGGCCUUCGGGUUGUAAACUGCUUUUGUACGGAACGAAAAGCCUUCUUUUAAUACAGGAGGGUCAUGACGGUACCGUAAGAAUAAGCACCGGCUAACUACGUG